Molecule: ribosomal RNA, 22 nt
Filed under: Pseudobensingtonia musae
Lineage: Eukaryota; Fungi; Basidiomycota; Agaricostilbomycetes; Agaricostilbales; Agaricostilbaceae
Description: partial 26S rRNA
Source: RNAcentral
UUUGACCUCAAAUCAAGUAGGA